Piliocolobus tephrosceles (Ugandan red Colobus) is the source of this 2021-nucleotide non-coding RNA. Lineage: Eukaryota; Metazoa; Chordata; Mammalia; Primates; Cercopithecidae. The record is from the annotation of a RefSeq genome assembly.
AGCUGUGUUCUUAGGGGUUCUGAGGGCCAUGCAGCUGUGUUGCACCACAAUUCUGUCUUCCCUCUUGCCUGAAGGAAAUUUGGAAUGGGCUUGGCCCAGAGCUCCCCGGUGUAGCAGGCCCUGUCCUGGAGGGCCUGGCAGAGACAUGGCUUAGCCUACUGGCCUCUGGUCCUGAGACCUUAUAGGCCACAGGGGUCCACUGUGGCUUGUUUGGGCCUGGGGUGGAGCUUGUGGAGUGGUGGGUGUUGGACUGAGACCCUGACUGGGGACAGGGAGGUGGGGUCACAGCCAAGCCGUCCCACCCCUACCCCAUGCACACAGCACUCAGAGCCCAGGGUACCUCCUCAGAGCCCCUGCCAAGAUCCUCUCUAGCUGCAGGGGAGAGAGCAAUAUAUGUCCCCCACCCAGAGGGGGAGCUGCAGUCAGGGAGCUCAGGGGACUCAGCCACGCCACAGCAGAGCCCUGUUUAAUACAACUUGUGUCUGGGAUGGCCUGGGUCAGAGGCCCUAUCUGAGGAGCAUGUUCAGAAACCGUGUCGCUGGGAUCAGACAGCUGGGUCCAAACGCAGGCCUGUGGUGCAGGAGCUGUGUGACCUUGGGGCCGUCACCGGGCCUCUCUGUGCUGGGUUCCUCCAGUGUAGAGGAGAGGCAGGCACAGCCUGUCGUCCUGGGGACACGGCAUGAGGGCCGCGUCCUCACAGCACAUUCUGUGUUCCAGCAUCCCCGAGCAGCCCCAGCGUCUUCCCGCUGAGCCUUGAGAGCACCCAGCCAGAUGGGAAUGUGGUCGUCGCCUGCCUGGUCCGGGGCUUCUUUCCCCAGGAGCCACUCAACGUGACCUGGAGCGAGAGCGGAGAGAACGUGACCGUCAUAAACUUCCCGCCCAGCCAGGACGCCUCCGGGGAGCUGUACACCAUGAGCAGCCAGCUGACCCUGCCGGCCACACAGUGCAGCAAGUCUGUGACAUGCCACAUGGAGCACUACACGAAUCCCAGCCGGGAUGUGGCUGUGCCCUGCAUUGCUCCCUCACCCUACUGUCCCUCAUGUGGCGAGCCUCGAUUGUUGCUGCGCCGGCCGGCCCUCGAGGACCUGCUCCUAGGUUCAGAAGCGAACCUCACGUGCACACUGACCGGCCUGAGAGAUCCCUCGGGUGCCACCUUCACCUGGACGCCCUCAAGUGGGAAGAACGCCGUCCAACAGUCACCUAAGCCUGACCCCUGUGGCUGCUACAGCGUGUCCAGCGUCCUGCCCGGCUGCGCCGAGCCAUGGAACAAGGGGGAGACCUUCACCUGCACUGCUGAGCACCCUGAGUUGGAGACCCCGCUAACCGCCACCAUCUCAAAAUCCGGAAACACAUUCCGGCCCGAGGUCCACCUGCUGCCGCCGCCGUCGGAGGAGCUGGCCCUGAACGAGCUGGUGACGCUGACGUGCCUGGCACGCGGCUUCAGCCCCGAGGACGUGCUGGUUCGCUGGCUGAAGGGAACAGAGCAGCUGCCCCGUGACAAGUACCUGACUUGGAAAUCCCGGCAGGAGCCCAGCCAGGGCACCACCACCUUCGCCGUGACCAGCAUACUGCGCGUGGCAGCCGAGGACUGGAAGAGGGGGGACACCUUCUCCUGCAUGGUGGGCCACGAGGCCCUGCCGCUGGCCUUCACACAGAAGACCAUCGACCGCCUGGCGGAUUGGAAGAUGCUACCUCCCUCUGUGGUGCUGGACUUGCCGCAGGAGACCCUGGAGGAGGAGACCCCUGGUGCCAACCUGUGGCCCACCACCAUCACCUUCCUCACCCUCUUCCUGCUGAGCCUGUUCUAUAGCACAGCACUGACUGUGACCAGCAUCCGGGGUCCAUCUGGCAACAGGGAGGGCCCCCAGUACUGAGCGGGAGCCAGCAAGGCACAGGGAGGAAGUGUGGAAGAACCUCUUGGAGAAGCCAGCUAUGCUUGCCAGAACUCAGCCCUUUCAGAAAUCACCGACUCGCCCUUACUCACAUGCCUUCCAGGUGCAAUAAAGUGGUCCCAAGGAAAA